This 530-nucleotide long non-coding RNA is filed under the name Glycine max (soybean). RNAcentral's name for it is "long non-coding RNA (GMAX_LNC002301)". Lineage: Eukaryota; Viridiplantae; Streptophyta; Magnoliopsida; Fabales; Fabaceae. The record is from RNAcentral.
UGGCUUAUAAAGUAAUUGAGAAAACAGCUACACCUAUUGUAAAUGGUAUAAAGUGUGUUAUUAAAAAGUUACAUGAAGAGUGAAAGAUGCCUAGAAUCUGUCUCGCAUAUAAGCAUUUUAAAAAAUUGUGUUUACUUCCUAAGAGUGGUCUUGCCAUGUGGCAUGAAAUAAAUGGGAUGGCUUAAGAUUAGAGCAAUGAAUCACAAUGUUGUGCAGUUCUAAUCAUUGUAGCCUCAAAAAUGGAGGUGGAUACUGCCAUUAGCUUCUGGUGCACUUUCAUUUUUUGCAUCUACCACAUGAACCGUUUUCAGUGUCUUUAAGCCAUUCUCAAAAGACACUGUAGUGCGGGCUGAAAAGAAAAUACAUAAAGUGCAUACUUUGCUGUGCUCACGCUCUUUAAGGAUUUGUUUAAUACUAGUCUUGGAAAAAGGUAGCAAUGACUUCAUCAAACUAACACAAAGGAUAUUAAAAUUAAAUCCUUGAUAAAUAUAGUAUUCGUGUAUAUAUGAUAAUAUAGAAAAUAAGCCUUC